GUCUACAGUCAUGCCACCUGGAAUGUGCCAGAUCUCGUCUGAUCUCGGAAGCUAAGUAGGGUCGGGCCUGGUUAGUACUUGGAUGGGAGACCACCUAGGAAGACCAGGUGCUAUAGGUG
RNAcentral lists this ribosomal RNA (119 nucleotides) under Pteropus alecto (black flying fox). The record is from RNAcentral. Lineage: Eukaryota; Metazoa; Chordata; Mammalia; Chiroptera; Pteropodidae.